RNAcentral lists this long non-coding RNA (552 nucleotides) under Rattus norvegicus (Norway rat). RNAcentral describes it as "long non-coding RNA NONRATT021332". The record is from RNAcentral. Lineage: Eukaryota; Metazoa; Chordata; Mammalia; Rodentia; Muridae.
GUGUCGGGGACCACCAAACAAUUCUUCCAAACCCAGACCCUCUGGGGCCAGGGUCGGGUGAUUGGGAGGAGCUGCGAGGUACCGGGCCCUUGGAUUAGUUGCCGUUGAAGGAGCCUCCGCCAAUGAAAUCUUCUCUGCGCUCUGAUUUGGCGGUUCUUCUGUGCAAAUAUGACAGCUUUCUCUCUCAGCUCUUUCCUGCAUCUCUCCAUGUCCGUCCCCAGAGCCCAGCUCUUCAUCUGCAAUUUCUACACCACAACCUUUGCAACCACCACCACCACCACCACCACCACCACCACCACCACCACCACCACCACCACCAUGACCACCCCUAGUUCCCAUGCCAGCAAGUGCCGGGUUGCUACAAAGGUGACAGGGCACAUUGGGAAGAAGGCUUGUUGCUUGCAGAAGACACUAAGACCUGUGUUUCCAGGUGGGGAAAUGUUAGAAUAAAUGCAAUAUACUUUGUACUAAAUAUAUAGUCUUGGAGAAGUGUUCAGAUUGUUUAUUCCUUUGAUGGUGACUAAUGUAUUAGAAAGAAACAGAUUUUUAUUU